Molecule: ribosomal RNA, 503 nt
Filed under: Microcaldota archaeon
Lineage: Archaea; Nanobdellati; Microcaldota
Description: partial 23S ribosomal RNA
Rfam family: Archaeal large subunit ribosomal RNA
Source: RNAcentral
AUAACCGAGAGGGGGUUAACCCAGACUAGAGUUAAGGCCCCCAAAUGUAACCUAAGUGUCAAGCAAAAGGGAGUCCUCGACCUAAGACAGCAGGGAGGUAGGCUUAGAAGCAGCCACCCUUCAAAGAAAGCGUAACAGCUCACCUGCCGAGCUUGAGGGCCCCGAAAAUGGACGGGGCUAAAGCCUGCUGCCGAUACUCUGGGCCACUCUCAGUCGAGAGUGUGCGGUAGGUGGGCGUGGUGGCUGCGUAGACGCUGGGCCGUGAGGUCCAGUGGACCGGCUUCCAGUGCAGAUCCUGGUAGUAGUAGCAGCGUAGUCGGGUGAGAAUCCUGACCGCCGAAAGGACACGGUUUUCCUGGCAAUGCGUCAUCAGCCAGGAGUUAGCCGAUCCUAAGAACGAAACCAACGUAUUCGUUCGAACGAGGGAAUGCGGUUAAUAUUCCGCAGCCUUGGACAUUCCGAUGCCCCGCAAGGGGCGAUAUCGCAUCUGACGCUUCCGGAUA